GCUAGUUGUAUUAACUCUUAGUUAAUACAAGAUCGACUAUGUCGACUAAAGUUCUAGGUAGAAUAAUGAUGAUGACAAUUUUCUACCUAUAUGUCUUGACCAAAUCUCGUGCCAGCAGUCGCGGUAAUACGUGGAAGACUAGUGUUAUUCAUCUUAAAUAGGUUUAAAGGGUACCUAGACGGUUUAUCUAGCCCAAAAUAGGGUACGGAUUAACUAGAGUUUUAUGUGAGAAGGGGAGUACUUUUAGAGUAAAGAUGAAAUUUUAUGAUACUAUGAGGAAACUGGUGGCGGCGAAAGCAACCUUCUAUGUAUAAACUGACGUUGAGGGACGAAGGCUUGGGUAGCAAAUAGGAUUAGAUACCCUAGUAGUCCAAGCAGACAAUUCUGAAUGCCAUAGAUUAGAUUUUUUUGAUUUAUAAAUGAAAGUGUAAGCAUUCCACCUUAGGAGUAAUGUGGCAACACAGGAACUGAAAUCAUUAGACCGUUUCUGAAACCAGUAGUGAAGUAUGUUAUUUAAUUUGAUAGUCCUCAAAAAACCUUACCACAACUUGAAUGUUAUUUAAUUAAUACAAGCGUUGCACGGCUGUCUUCAGUUAAUGUCGUGAGAUUUUGGUUAACUCCUUAAAUUAACGUAAACCCAUGCUUUA
RNAcentral lists this ribosomal RNA (647 nucleotides) under Sarcogyne pruinosa. RNAcentral describes it as "SSU rRNA". It matches the Rfam family "Bacterial small subunit ribosomal RNA", at positions 381 to 1113 of the family's 1533-position model. The record is from RNAcentral. Lineage: Eukaryota; Fungi; Ascomycota; Lecanoromycetes; Acarosporales; Acarosporaceae.